GAUGAACGCUGGCGGCGUGCUUAAUACAUGCAAGUCGAACGGGGAGUUGUAUUUCGGUAUAACUUCCAGUGGCGAACGGGUGAGUAACGCGUUGGUGACCUGCCCUUAAGACGAGGAUAACCAAGGGAAACUUUGGCUAAAACUGGAUAGGAACAUUGGAGGCAUCUCUGAUGUUUUAAAAGACCUAGCAAUAGGUAUGCUUAAGGAGGGGCCUGCGGCGCAUUAGUUAGUUGGUGAGGUGAAGGCUUACCAAGACGAUGAUGCGUAGCCGGACUGAGAGGUUGAACGGCCACAUUGGGACUGAGAAACGGCCCAAACUCCUACGGGUGGCAG
This 333-nucleotide ribosomal RNA is filed under the name uncultured Mycoplasmatota bacterium. Its description in RNAcentral is "bacterial SSU rRNA". It matches the Rfam family "Bacterial small subunit ribosomal RNA", at positions 28 to 351 of the family's 1533-position model. The record is from RNAcentral. Lineage: Bacteria; Bacillati; Mycoplasmatota.